This 6169-nucleotide long non-coding RNA is filed under the name Sus scrofa (pig). RNAcentral describes it as "lncRNA (ENSSSCG00000058697.1)". The record is from RNAcentral. Lineage: Eukaryota; Metazoa; Chordata; Mammalia; Artiodactyla; Suidae.
CAGCCAGGAACUGGGCUGACGUCCUCUCACUGCCAAGUGGCAGGUGAUUCGGGGUCCUGGUGGGGAACAUGUGUUUGGUUCUGCUGUUUAUUAGGGGAGGUCUCUCCAGGCUGAGAGCUGCCCGCACACCUGAGUGAACACAGCCCCAGCUGGUGGUGGACAGAGUGCCCAGUCUUUGACCCAAAGAGGCCUGGCCCUUUCUGUUACCAAGAGCUGGGGACUCUGGGGGGGGGGGGGGGGGGGGGCUUCAGGGUCUCCCUGGAAGUCAUUGAUGAGCUCUGCCUUUGGCCACCCCUAUGUUGGUAUGUUAGGUCCUAAGUCUGCCAUGAUGAAGUAGCACAAACUGGGUGACUUAAACAACAGAAAUGUAUUCUCGAAGUUCUGGAGGCUAGAAUUUCCAAAUCAAGGUUGAUUGAGGCAGGGUUGGUUCCUGAGGCUGUUUCCUGCCUCUCCCCCUGCCCCAGCUUUUGGUGGUUGCCAGCAGUCCUGUGGGUUCCUAGCUUGCAUUAAGCCAGUCUCUGCCUCCAUAGUCACAUGGCACUGUCCCCUCUGUGACCUCCGUGUCUGCUCUUCUCUUCACAGAAGGACACCAUUUCUAUCGGAUUAAGGGCCCACCUACUUCACUAUGACCUCACUUUAACUUAAUUACAGCUGCAAAAACCCUGUUUAAUAAGGUUGCAUUCUGAGGUUCCGGGAAGGACGGGGAUUUGGGGGCGGGGGGACGCUCUCCCUUGGGUUGCUCAUCCGCUUCACUCCUCCCCUGCUGUUAACUUUUCCUCCCUCUCACUCCUUUCCUCCCACUUUCCUGAGCCCAACCCCCAGCUUGAGGGGAGGGCGAGGCUGCCAUUACUGCCUGCAGCUGUAAAUUAGAAAGUGCUCUACGAAGAACUGAAUUACUUUUUACUAAUACACUCUUCCCCAUUAAGAGGCAAUCAAUUUACAACUGUGGUUUUCAUCCUUUUUUGGGGUUUCAGAGGUCUUUGGGACUGAGGAAAACCUUGAACUCUGACUCAGGAUAAAUGAACAGACAAACAGGCACAGCUCCUUAAGUGGCAAUGCUGCUUUCCCAUGCCCAUCCCUUCUUGGGUUCCAGGGGGGCCUCCUGGGGGCCAUGGGGUAUCUGCCCUAGAGCCAAAGAGGCCCAGGUCCUCUGCGCUCUGGCUCUUGGUAGUUCAGGGAGUGCCAUGUAGGGCAAGGACGGGGGAGAUUAACCUCAAUUCAGAGUGCGUGUGCACCUUGCAUGCUGGGGUGGAUAGGCAUGACUGGGGGUGUAUGGAGGGCCCAAGGAAAGGGGGGUGCUCUGAUGUGGUGUGAACAUGUUUUUUCUCUUGCCCCAAUAGUCACCACACCAGUGACACAAUUGAGAAGAGGAGCUCUGUGAUGGAUCCUUAAUAUAAUUGACCCUCCAUUAUCCGGUUUAUGUAAAAACACCCAAUUGGAGUUUCCACUGUGGUGCACCAGGAUUGGCGGUGUCUUGGGAGCACUGGGAGGCAGAUUCGAUCCCUGGUCCAGCACAGUGGAUUAAGGAUCCAGUGCUGCUGCGGCUGCAGCUUAGGUGGCAACUGCAGCUCAAAUCUGAUCCCUGGCCUGGGAACUCCAUAUGCCGCAGGCGCCUAUGUCCCCCCAAAAAAAACGCCCCCCAAAACCCAAAAAAACCAAGAACCCUAAAAAACAAUAGCAAAAAACAAAAACACCCAAGCAUUUCUUUGUGUGCAAAUACAUGUACAGAGAGUUCUUGAAGGACAAACCCCAAACAGAUAACAGUGGCUGCUGCUGGGGAGGGGUCUAGCACUAGGGACAUCGUGGGAAGAAUUUUCCUUGUUAUUCCCUUUGUUUUGGUAUGGUUUGGCUUUUUCUGGUGAGAAUGCUCUUGAAAGUUAAUUGUGUAUUCAACAACUUAAAAUCUUUUCGGAAGAAAGACUCUGGUAUUCUGGGAUUUCAGAUCCCUUUGAAUAGCUUAUGAAAUCUGUGGACUGCCUCACCCCCUGUCCUGCCCACCGUGAGCAUCCUCAGCCUGGGGGGAGGGCCAGACCCCCAGCCCUGAAGCUGAGCCAGCUCCUUCCGGUGGAGAAGGCCACCUGCUGCCACCAGUCAGGCUACAGGGCUUUCCUUUCCCCUGUCCCCACUCCACACCCAGUCCCCCUGCAAAUUCCAGCCUAAGUCUUCUCUGGGUCAGGGAUUCUCAAACAAGUGGCAUCAGAAUCACCUCCUGCGAUACUUUGAGUCACUGCUCUAGGUAAAAGGGAGGGUCAGGCUUUACCUGGCUCCAGAGAGGGGCUCCAUGCUAAAAGAAAAGCUUACCCCCUUACCCUUGUGGUGGCAUGGAGGACAGUACCCUGGGGAUCACUUGGGUGCAGGAAGAAGGGCAAAAUCUCCUGGGGGUCAGGAGAUGCUGAGAUGGGUUGUGAUAGUCUCGGCUGGAAGGGACCACCCCCCCCCUAGAGAUUAUCCCCCUCCACCUACGGACUGAGGAUCCAGGGGUGAGGCAGGAGUGGCUUCUCCCAAGUGGUCAGCCUGCCAGGGUCUCAGAGCACUGAUCCUCAGCCUGUGUCUUCUCUGCACUGAGAUGAGGCUGGGCUACAAGGCGGGGGAGGGGCAGGGGAGGGACGCAAGGUGGGGGAGCCUCCGUGCCUGGCUUCCCCUUCCUCUCUUCCAGGCUCUGCAGGUCUCCAGUAUGAAGAGGGCGGGUCUCACCUCACUCUCUCCUCAAGGGAUUUGACUGAACAAACUGGGUGUCCCUGGCACCUGACCCAGCACCUGGCAUGGAGUCAGGAAGGGGAGAAAGGAAGGAGGGUGCUCAGCCCCACCCCCCUGCCAAGGUCCUUUCCCAUUCCUUCCCUUUCUGCAGCUUCUCUUCCUGCAAGUCCCAGUUCUCCCUGUAUCCCCAGGGCUGUGGGGUUUGUUUUUAUUCCCUGCAGUGAAUGCAUCCCAGCCUGGGAGUAUUUUUGUCUUAAAAGAGGACUCACAACAACCCCCGGGAUGGAAUGCAGGGCCUCAGGACAGGCAAGGUUGUACAAGGGGCAGAGGGAUCCCUCAAGCCUACAUCAGAUGAACCCUCCCACAUCUCUCCUCAGGCCCCAGGGGGUAUCAUCAAGAUGCAGGUUCCCUGGGGGCUUGCCUUGGGGAAGUGCCCUUGGUGCCACCACCCCCUGUAGGUGGGUGACUCUUCUGGGGAUGAGCCCAGCUACCAUUUUGGGCAUCUCAGCCUGCCAGGGGAGAGAUGAAAGGAGGCCAAAGGUGCCAAAUUCUUCCAGUAGUUGGAGAUAACAACCCUCACCAAACUGAGGUGGUGGCAGCCUUGGCUACCUGCCAGCUGGUGACGUGUCGUGAAAGGGCCUGAACAGGAGAGUCAGAUCUGCCCUUGGGAAACUCAGUGAGAGGUGCAGCCUGAUACUCCCCUGUCUCCCACUUCCCUUCACUUGCUGGUGGUAGGCAGUGACCUUUGGAGGGACAGGGACACACGGGGCAGUUGCAACCCAGUAAGGCCCAACAGCACCAGUGACUUCUUAGGAGACAAGUUGCACAACUUCUUCUUGGGCCUUGCCCCCUCCUCCUCUGUAAAGUCAGCAGGACAGUGAGCCCCCAGAACUGCCCCCUCCCCACAACCGUGCCUGCUCUGUGCCAGCCGGGCCCUGGGACACAAAGAGAACAGGUCCCGGCUCCCACAUAAGGGGCUCCAGGUGGCAAAAGGCAAUUUCAGUACAAUGGGUUGUGAGAGCUGAGUUCAGGGAACACCAGGAAGGAAGCAACCCCUCCUGGAAAUGCCACUCCUUUCACAGCCAACUGGGUCCUCGACCUCUGUUCUCCCAUUUAAUUAAUACCAGCUCCAGUUCGCCAAGCUCUGGCAUUCAGAGGUGGGCUGCCCUGAAUCCCCCAUCCUCUGUGGUCCAACACAGGGAGACUGUGAAGCCAUUUAACAGAAAAAGAAACUGAGGGAGAGGUUAGUUCAGGAGCUGGCCCUGGCCACAUACCUUCUACUUAAUUAACUCUUUGUCUCAUUGCGGUGAGGUCCCCACUCCUUAAGGUCUGGCCUCCACUCUCUUCUCUGUUCUCUUUCUGGCCUCCCUCCCCGCCACCCCAUAGCUGCACAUCCUCCCACACAUUCAGCUGCCGUCUCCCUUUUCUGGAGCAGAGGCUCUAGCACGCUCUAGAUUGGCCUCCAUUGUUCCUUCUCCACCUGCUGGGUACCUCUAUCCAGGCAUCUUGCCAGCACCCCAGCCCUGCUGUGCCUAAGCCCACCAUCUCUUCCAGAUGUCUCUCUGACUGUUAAUGGUGCCCCCUGCUCCUGGUCACCUGGGUCCCAAGGCAUCUUCUCUGCCUCCAUCCAGAACCCGCCCCCCGCCCCCCAGUGCUCUACAGCAUGGCAGAGGCAGAGGGGACAGUGACAUCCCACUCAGAACCUUUUGGCUGCAAGUGACAGAAAAUUUCUAUGUGAACUGCUUUGGGUAGAGCUAGUCUCAGACACAGCUGAAUCCAGUGGUCAGGGGGGCACCUUCAGAUCUUGUUCUUCAGCUCAGUACUCACCAUGGGGUUUGGCAAAUUGUCUAUUCGCGCAGGCCUACACCCCAUAAGGAUGAGCCAAAGAGAGUGAUUCUUGUCCUGGUAGAUCUCACACAAGCCCUGGGAUUUUCCCUUUCUGCAUCAACUGGAGUCAUGUGCACAGUCACUGGGGCCAGGAGGAUUCAGUGCUCUUACUGGCCAGGUUGGGUCUUGGGUUCCAGCAGAACCACACAGACAGAGCACUGUUACUAAAGAAGUCUUUAAGAUGCCCAGGGGCUCCACGAAAUAUGUCCCUUCCAAAUUUGUGGCAUGCAGGGGAAGAAGAGAAGCAGCCCAAUUUGUUCUUGGUGGCCAUUACUAGGUAAGAGUCAUACCCAGAGAGUCUAAGCAUUGAGCCUCAGAAUUCAGAGCUGGGUUAAGCCUUGAUUACAUUGCUGAUUGACUAGGGGAUACAUGGGCAAUCCCCCAAAUUUCUGUGGUUAACACAAUACAAGUUUAUUUCUUUCCAUGCUGUAUGUCACAUGUGGGCAGUGGGGGGACUCUGCUCUACACAGUCACUUAGGGACCAGAUGGUUGGAGGUGCCAUCUGCACACCUCCACCCUUUCAUGUUGGGGGAAAGGAGAUACUGGAGAAUCCUGCCUGGGCUUUUCACUGUCUCCACUUGGAAGUGACAGAUAUCCCUUCCACUCUUAUUUCUUGGGCUAGAACUAGUCACAGCCUGACAGAAAGAGGGUGGGAAACAAAGGGAAGCCAAUGGAGUAUUUGGAAAGAAUUACUAUUGUUGUCAUAUCCACUGGUUAGCUAUGUCUCCUUAGACAAGUUGCUUACCCUCUCUGUAUCUCAGAGUCCACAUCUGUUAACUGAGAAUUACAAUUGUUCCUUUCUUACAGGGCAGCGUCAGGAUUAGAUCUGUUUCUAUAUGUAAGUGUCUCAGACAAGUGCCUGGCACAUAGAAACAGCUUGAUUAAAGGUUAAAGGGUAUCAAUAUUGCCUCUCCUUAGGGUCUCUUCUAUACAUACGACCCCCCUCCCCCAAUAAGAAUGACGUGAUCAAACAUCAUUCACUGAUAUUCUGAUCUAAGACAAGAACUUAGAACUGAGGAGUUUUUUAUGUUAGUAUCUUUGAACCUUCCAAUAAGACAGAUUCUUGCUUACUUCUGGGGACCCCUAAGGUAGUUAUGCCUAUAUUAAACUUACCACUGCCUACCACAGUGGUCAAAAUAACCUACCUAUUUUAAAGAUUUACAUCAGAAAACUCAAAAAAUUCACUCCACUGAAGUUGGAAACCCUUAUCCCCAGUCCUUGUGCGCUGACUGCUCCAGAUCUGCCUACAGUGUCUCUUUGGGGUCUUGCUGAAGGCAUUCAUUUGGGGGAGAUUUGGUGUUACAGCUACGUUUGGGCACAGAUGGUCUUUCCCAGGCAAAGUGGCAGGGGAGAGGCACAAGCCUAUGCGUGAUUGUGUUGGUCCACUGCAAACAAGGUUCUCUUGUUUGACCCUUCAUUCAUUUUUCAUUAAAUAAAUAAUUCUUAAUGACCUACGAUGUGCUGGGCCUGUGCAAAUUACUAGAAUUCAGAGGUGAAUAAGGAAGAUCUGUCUAAAUGGAGAGUGGGAACCACAAACAGCAACAGGGAAAGAAGUAAAGAUCUUUGGGAACUGAAAACUACAUAC